Molecule: long non-coding RNA, 621 nt
Organism: Brassica napus (rape)
Lineage: Eukaryota; Viridiplantae; Streptophyta; Magnoliopsida; Brassicales; Brassicaceae
Exons: 3
Source: RefSeq, a predicted model, not a curated record
ACUAUCUGCAAAAGUCUGCGCUUCUUCCUCUAAACCUCUGCUGCCUCCAUGCCACUUCCGCCUGUACGGCCACCAUCGACAUCACAACAACCUCAAGUAAUGAACAAAACGCCGCCUCCUCCUCUGUUUCAUGAUUUUCUCCGCGUAGACCGUUAGGUAAAGAUAAGUUCCUUUGAGUAAUUUUACAAAACGCCCGACCGGACUAUGGCCUGUGAUAAGCUCAGAACAAGCUUCUUUGAUUUCAGUGGAAGGGUUGUGUUUACAGCACUUGAAGCAUUUGUGAAGAAGAUGCCGACUAAGUAAAGAAGAAGAGUUGAAGUUGUAUAGCUACAAAGUUGUAGUAGAUGAGCUUGACUCUGCUGAGAAAUUUCUCAGGGCCCUUGUGGAGUACCAUUUGCAUUUCAAGAGGCUGAAGCAAUGCUUUAUAGAGAGACGGUUGAAGAUGAAGUGGUUCAUCUUAGAAACUCCUUCUCAAUGCUUGAGGAAGCUUGCACGGAGCUUAAGUCAAGCAGGUUAUUCCUGAAGCUUUUAAAAGUCGUCCUUAGGACUGGGAACAAGAUGAAUGUAGGAACCAUACUUGGUGGCGCAAAAGCCUUCAAGCUCUCCAAUGUUAAGUGCACA